RNAcentral lists this ribosomal RNA (1065 nucleotides) under uncultured organism. RNAcentral describes it as "bacterial SSU rRNA". It matches the Rfam family "Bacterial small subunit ribosomal RNA", at positions 362 to 1459 of the family's 1533-position model. The record is from RNAcentral.
UAUUGCCCAAUGGACGGAAGUCUGAGGCAGCAACGCCGCGUGCGGGAUGAAGGCCUUCGGGUUGUAAACCGCUUUUCUGCGCGAAGAGGAAGGACGGUAGCGCAGGAAGAAGUCUCGGCUAACUACGUGCCAGCAGCCGCGGUAAAACGUAGGAGGCGAGCGUUAUCCGGAUUUACUGGGUGUAAAGCGCGUGCAGGCGGUCAUGUAAGUGGUGCGUGAAAGCGCCCGGCUCAACCGGGCGAGGCCGUGCCAAACUGCGUGACUGGAGGCAGGUAGAGGCGCGUGGAAUUCCGGGUGUAGUGGUGAAAUGCGUAGAUAUCCGGAGGAACACCAGUGGCGAAGGCGGCGCGCUGGGCCUGACCUGACGCUAAGACGCGAAAGCAUGGGGAGCGAACGGGAUUAGAAACCCCGGUAGUCCAUGCUGUAAACGCUGCAGACUAGGUGUUGCGUGCGACGAGUAUGCAGUGCCGAAGCCAACGUGAUAAGUCUGCCACCUGGGGACUACGGCCGCAAGGUUAAAACUCAAAGGAAUUGACGGGGGCCCGCACAAGCAGCGGAGCGUGUGGUUUAAUUCGAGGCUACACGAAGAACCUUACCUGGGCUUGACAUGGCGGUGGUAGGGAACCGAAAGGGGACCGACCUUCGGGAGCCGUCACAGGUGCUGCAUGGCUGUCGUCAGCUCGUGUCGUGAGAUGUUCGGUUAAGUCCGGUAACGAGCGCAACCCUCGCCGCUAGUUACAAGUGUCUGGCGGGACUGCCCGUUGAACGCGGGAGGAAGGUGGGGAUGACGUCAAGUCAGCAUGGCCUUUAUGUCCAGGGCUACACACACGCUACAAUGGCCGGUACAAUGGGUCGCCAACCCGCGAGGGGGAGCCAAUCCAUCAAAGCCGGUCUCAGUUCGGAUUGCAGGCUGCAACCCGCCUGCAUGAAGUCGGAGUUGCUAGUAACCGCAGGUCAGCUAUACUGCGGUGAUACGUUCCCGGGCCUUGUACACACCGCCCGUCACGUCAUGGGAGCUGGUCAUGCCUGAAGUCGGUGGGCUAACCUCACGGAGGCAACCGCCUA